This 387-nucleotide ribosomal RNA is filed under the name uncultured bacterium. Its description in RNAcentral is "bacterial SSU rRNA". It matches the Rfam family "Bacterial small subunit ribosomal RNA", at positions 28 to 428 of the family's 1533-position model. The record is from RNAcentral.
AAUCAACGCUGGCGGCGUGCUUAACACAUGCAAGUCACGGGGGCCCGCAAGGGUAACCGGCGAACGGGUGCGUAACACGUGAACAACCUGCCCUCGUGUGGGGGAGUAGCCAUGCUAACGCGUGGGUAAUACCGCAUACGUUCUCUUUGGGGAGUCCCGAGGAGAGGAAAGCUCCGGCGCACGGGGAGGGGUUCGCGGCCUAUCAGCUAGUUGGCGGGGUAAUGGCCCACCAAGGCGACGACGGGUAGCGGUCUGAGAGGAUGGCCAGCCACAUUGGGACUGAGAGACGGCCCAGACUCCUACGGGAGGCAGCAGUGGGGAAUCUUGCGCAAUGGCCGAAAGGCUGACGCAGCGACGCCGCGUGAGGGAUGACGGCCUCGGUUGUAA